CGCCCACUCAAUUAACCCAGCUGGACGCACGGAAAGCAUGUCCUAGGAACUGAUAAUUUAAAACUCACUGUCUACACUGGAUACUUUAAACUAUGUCCAACAAAUUUAUGACCUGAAACAACAUUUUAAUUUUAUAAUGUUGUUUUUGUUUAACAGCUCGCUUUCUCUAACAUGCAGAAGGUCACCCUUCACACACAACUGGAUCGAUUAUCGCUUCCGAGGAUGUUUAUGUUUGUUCACGCUUUGACUUAAGAUUGUUUUGCAAAGAAGCCACGGUGUAACGUUAAUGGAAAGUUCGAGAAGAAACUUAUUUUGAAGGAAGAAGCCAACAUUAUUUGAUCUGGUACAGCUGCUACAUCAAAACAGAGCCAUGUGCCAGCCACUGACAGGGGAAAGCUGCUGCUAAUGUUAAUGCAUGUCCAACAAGCUCGUAUUGUGUGGGUAUAGAAGAAGACUGGAUCGGUAACUCAGCAUCAUUGGAGAGCUUACCGGUCACAGAGUCUGGGUCAGGAAUGGCUUUUGGAGUGGCGCAGUUCUUUAAAGUGGACACUGUCAGAGUGGGACCAUUCAGCAUUGGUGCCGGUUGGGUAGCAUGGCGCUGUGGAGGAUUGGGUGUAGACUGAGGAGCUGAAAUACACAAAAACAAGAUGAUUCCGAAACUAACUCCAGGUGAAAAUGCCCGUUUAAAAGCAAUACUGUACCAUUGCAACCAGGGUAAUCUAUUAAGUCACUGCCGUCCCCACAGUUGUCGAUGCCUUUAUCGUCUGCACAAACCAGACUCUUGGGGAUACACUUCCCGUUGCGGCAGUUGAAGUAGGGCUCACCGCUGCACUCUGAUUGGUUAAAACCUGAAGACAAAUAUUUGAGUGUAUUAGCAAUCAUCUAUUUUUUAACUGUAAUUGUUUUAAGAAGUAUACGGUAGUACUACAUUGUGAUUACUUCAUUACAAUCUCAGAAAUAAAGGUGCAAAAGCUGCACUGAGGCAAUACUCUUUCAAAAUGUACAAGUUUGUAUUUUUUAUAUGCUAUUUAACUUUAAAGGAAUAGUUCACCCUA
RNAcentral lists this long non-coding RNA (1055 nucleotides) under Danio rerio (zebrafish). Its description in RNAcentral is "si:ch211-11c3.1 (ENSDARG00000096865.2)". The record is from RNAcentral. Lineage: Eukaryota; Metazoa; Chordata; Actinopteri; Cypriniformes; Danionidae.